Caenorhabditis elegans is the source of this 21-nucleotide non-coding RNA. The record is from Ensembl. NCBI's taxonomy places the organism in Eukaryota, Metazoa, Nematoda, Chromadorea, Rhabditida, Rhabditidae.
AUAUCAUCAUUGUCUAGUGGU